Molecule: ribosomal RNA, 464 nt
Filed under: Vreelandella stevensii
Lineage: Bacteria; Pseudomonadati; Pseudomonadota; Gammaproteobacteria; Oceanospirillales; Halomonadaceae
Description: partial 16S ribosomal RNA
Rfam family: Bacterial small subunit ribosomal RNA
Source: RNAcentral
CCUACGGGGGGCUGCAGUGGGGAAUAUUGGACAAUGGGGGGAACCCUGAUCCAGCCAUGCCGCGUGUGUGAAGAAGGCCCUCGGGUUGUAAAGCACUUUCAGUGAGGAAGAACGCCUGGUGGUUAAUACCCAUCAGGAAGACAUCACUCACAGAAGAAGCACCGGCUAACUCCGUGCCAGCAGCCGCGGUAAUACGGAGGGUGCGAGCGUUAAUCGGAAUUACUGGGCGUAAAGCGCGCGUAGGUGGCUUGAUAAGCCGGUUGUGAAAGCCCCGGGCUCAACCUGGGAACGGCAUCCGGAACUGUCAAGCUAGAGUGCAGGAGAGGAAGGUAGAAUUCCCGGUGUAGCGGUGAAAUGCGUAGAGAUCGGGAGGAAUACCAGUGGCGAAGGCGGCCUUCUGGACUGACACUGACACUGAGGUGCGAAAGCGUGGGUAGCAAACAGGAUUAGAUACCCGAGUAGUC